CGGGAAUGCGGCAGCGGGCGGCAGCCUUUGUCAGGCGCUUUUUCUGGGAGAGAAAAAGGGGAAAAAAGCAGCUGUAUUUUUUUUCCUCAAGUGUCGGAUGUUCCCUGCGUGUGCAGUGAAACCGGGUGUGCGAUCACUGGCUGUCCCUGUCUGCUGGUUACACCAGAUCCUUCUUUCUGUGGUUCACAGAAGAAUGACCAACUACCUGGACUAUAUCUGGGGUUUAGAUAGUCCACCCAGGGUCUCCACAUGUUGUUGGACACUGCACACCAGAAUUGUGCUGCUCUGCUCCAUUCCAAGGUCUUUGCCCACAUUGUAAGUCAAGCACUUCCCAGCUGAGUUCAUUUGAUUUGCACUCCCACAGACCAUUGUUUUCUGAAUCUGGAGGAAAGAACGGUAAAUCCUUGUACAACUGCUGCACAAUGAAAAUGUUUGUUUUUGAGACAGAUAUCACCUUUAAUGUGAUGCUCCUCUAACAAGCCUAUAGAGAAGCAGUCAAGAGUGGCAUUUUCUCUUCUUUCUUUACUAAAUUUCUCCUGUAGCUCCUGUCUCCAAGAACUAAUGAUAGGACAUACAAAGAUGUCUAAUAAAGUGCUAACAAAUUAGUUUUUCUGGUGUUUU
RNAcentral lists this long non-coding RNA (621 nucleotides) under Parus major (Great Tit). RNAcentral describes it as "lncRNA (ENSPMJG00000008542.1)". Lineage: Eukaryota; Metazoa; Chordata; Aves; Passeriformes; Paridae. The record is from RNAcentral.